GAGUUUUGUCCUCGCUCAGGAUGACGCUGGCGGCGUGCCUAAUACAUGCAAGUCGAGCGAACAGACGAGGAGCUUGCUCCUUUGACGUUAGCGGCGGACGGGUGAGUAACACGUGGGUAACCUACCUAUAAGACUGGGAUAACUUCGGGAAACCGGAGCUAAUACCUGGAUAAUAUUUCGAACCGCAUGGUUCGAUAGUGAAAGAUGGCUUUGCUAUCACUUAUAGAUGGACCUGCGCCGUAUUAGCUAGUUGGUAAGGUAACGGCUUACCAAGGCAACGAUACGUAGCCGACCUGAGAGGGUGAUCGGCCACACUGGAACUGAGACACGGUCCAGACUCCUACGGGAGGCAGCAAUCGAAUUCCCGCUGCCACA
Molecule: ribosomal RNA, 375 nt
Filed under: Staphylococcus hominis
Lineage: Bacteria; Bacillati; Bacillota; Bacilli; Caryophanales; Staphylococcaceae
Description: bacterial SSU rRNA
Rfam family: Bacterial small subunit ribosomal RNA
Source: RNAcentral